GGGGAUAUGGUGGAAUUUGGUAUACACACACGCUUGAGGGGCGUGGCUCCCUGAGCAUGAGGGUUCGAGUCCCUCUAUCCCCACCA
Molecule: transfer RNA, 86 nt
Filed under: bacterium BMS3Abin15
Lineage: Bacteria
Also listed under: 2 other names
Description: tRNA-Leu
Rfam family: tRNA
About the family: Transfer RNA (tRNA) molecules are approximately 80 nucleotides in length. Their secondary structure includes four short double-helical elements and three loops (D, anti-codon, and T loops). Further hydrogen bonds mediate the characteristic L-shaped molecular structure. tRNAs have two regions of fundamental functional importance: the anti-codon, which is responsible for specific mRNA codon recognition, and the 3' end, to which the tRNAs corresponding amino acid is attached (by aminoacyl-tRNA synthetases). tRNAs cope with the degeneracy of the genetic code in two manners: having more than one tRNA (with a specific anti-codon) for a particular amino acid; and 'wobble' base-pairing, i.e. permitting non-standard base-pairing at the 3rd anti-codon position.
Source: RNAcentral